This 2605-nucleotide long non-coding RNA is filed under the name Brassica napus (rape). RNAcentral's name for it is "long non-coding RNA (BNAP_LNC001970)". The record is from RNAcentral. Lineage: Eukaryota; Viridiplantae; Streptophyta; Magnoliopsida; Brassicales; Brassicaceae.
AAAAACAAACAGGAACAAAAGAGUUAGGAGAAGACUUGGGUAAGAGAGAUAGAGAAGAAACAUGCACUGAGUUUGGGAAGAUAUAAACAGCGGGUCUUUGAAGCUCGAACAAUAAUCAAAAGCAAAGAAGGAGAGGGAGAGGGAGGCCUUCUCUCGAGCCGGAGAAGACCGCCGGAAGCAAGAGAUGAAAGAUAGUUUCGAGAGAAAAGAAAAACAGAGUGACGACGCCGUUAGAUGCGCGGAGAAGAAAAACUCACCGUGUACGGAGCAGAAACCGGAGAAGAAGAUUCGGAUCUCUCCAUCGAGGCGUUGAGAAAAGCGAUCCUACGAGAAGAAGGUUCGGAUCUCUCCAUGGACUUUGAUAAGAUCGAUACUUUUGUCUUUAGGGAUUUUAGGAAGAAUAUCUUAUUUUCUGGCUCAGACUUUCAGGAACUUUAUACUUGGUUUUUUUUUUUUGGUUCAAAUUAUACUUAGUGAUUUAAAGGUUAUUAUUAAUUAUUAAUAUAAAUAUAUAGCUAAGCAAAAAAUAAAUCAAUUUGACUAAACCUCUCUCUUGCGAUUUUUCUCCCAGACACGGUUCCAGAGAAAAACCUUUACACCCUGUACCCAAAGCUGACCUAGCCUUUUAACCCACGGUUCUUUCCCUUUGUCGGCUUUUAUCCUCUGUAAAACCCUGCAAAUUUUCAAAUAAUUACUACUUUAAGCUAUAUCCAACGGAUAAUAGAUAGCUCCCACAAAUUAUCCUACCGGCUCCGCAGUCUCCUCCGCCGGGUUCAGCCCCCGACUCCGUCGGUGGGUCAGCCAGGGUCCUCCUGUGCCGUCUCCGUUCUGUUCUCGCAUCUCAGCCUCAUACAGUCUCUGUACUCUCUCUAUACCGGAGCUGGUCUUUAUGGAUGAGAUAAGAUAGAUACCUUUCUCAACUCUUGGGUUGUUAUAACCUCCUACUAGUACUGCCUCCAACAACUUGAUAUAGCAUUAAUCACUUUGAGUUACUCACCUAUAUCAGCAUUUACUGACCUUGGAAAGUCGAGAUCUCACCAUCUCUUUAAGAUACUCUCCACGCUGGGUCUGGUUAUACUAAAUCUCCUUUCAGCUUGAAUUAUUUGUGCCACUUCCACCAUGUCUCGCCGCUACUCUCGUUCGGACAAGGAAAAAUGGAGUGCGGCCGCCCCCCCGCCACCUCCGCCUACUCGCCGUGCUCCUAUUCGCAUUCCAGACAGUGACCCUGCCGCCCUAAUAGCGGAAAACAAGCUCACUAUCAUUGGUAGGGUUACAAACCCACGGUUCCAGAGACCUCGAGCUGUUAUCGACUUCUUGCCCCAAGUCUGGAAUUUGGAAGGGCACGUUGAAGGCCGUGAAAUAGGGCUAGACAAAUUCCAGUUUCGUUUCGAUUCAGAACACGAGCUUCAAACGGUUCUUGACAAAGGCCCGUACCAUUACAAAAGAUGGAUGUUGAUACUACAAAGAUGGGAACCGGUGGUGUCGGAAAACUUCCCUUCUCAGAUAUCCUUUUGGGUGAAAAUCCAUGGUAUCCCCCUCCACUACUGGAAUGAAAAAGCUGUUGAAACUAUCAGCGAUGCACUUGGACAUGUCUCAAGCCGAAACGCCAAAGAAGCAAAGACCAAUGUCACUUCCAUUGAGUUGCAAGGCUUUGUCUCCUGCGCCUUCUCCACGAAGGAUAACAAUGCACGACCUCUGGAGUGCAUUUGUCACUGGAUCUCUGCGAAUCUGGAUGUUGUGGACUUCUCCACAUGUCUUGAAAAGACUCUCCAAAGCCCGGUAGAGAUCAAUAGGUUUAAGGGAAGUACUGUACCCUUCAACACCGAUCCUUAUCCUAAUUGUUCAAUAGAAUCAAUUAGCAAACACAUUUGAAAGUGAAGGUAUUUAUCUUUUAUUACUUCACGUCUUUACAUCAGAAUCAUAAUAUAAAUAUACACAUACAUUAGCUAGACCAAAUAAUAUAGCUAUUCAAUCUAAACCAAAUAAUAGAAUAUUUAUUGGUAUCUAUCAACAUUACACAAAAUCUCCAAAAAGCAAAGGAAAAAAAAAACAGAAAUCUAUUUACCUGCUUUUGUAGUAAUCAUAGUGCGACUUCAUAACGUCGACAUACUUAUCACCGUACAAAGUCCUCUUCCCCUAUAUUUAUAAGAAAAUGUAAUUAGAAUCCUUUAAAAAAUAAUAUAUAUAUAUAUAUAUAUGUAUAUUAAUUUAAAAACCGAAAAAGAUUGGGGACCAGAACAGAACAAUCGCCGACAAAAACAAACAGGAACAAAAGAGUUAGGAGAAGACUUGGGUAAGAGAGAUAGAGAAGAAACAUGCACUGAGUUUGGGAAGAGAUAAACAGCGGGUCUUUGAAGCUCGAACAAUAAUCAAAAGCAAAGAAAAGACCGCCGGAAGCAAAAGAUAGUUUUGAGAGAAAAGAAAAACGGAGUGACGACGCCGUUAGAUGCGCGGAGAAGAAAAACUCACCGUGUACGGAGCAGAAACCCGAGAAGAAGAUUCGGAUCUCUCCAUCGAGGCGUUGAGAAAAUCGAUCAUACGAGAAGAAGGUUCGGAUCUCUCCAUGGACUUUGAUAAGAUCGAUACUUUUGUCUUUAGGGAUUUU